This 206-nucleotide ribosomal RNA is filed under the name uncultured bacterium. Its description in RNAcentral is "partial 16S ribosomal RNA". It matches the Rfam family "Bacterial small subunit ribosomal RNA", at positions 568 to 774 of the family's 1533-position model. The record is from RNAcentral.
CACGUAGGCGGACUCUUAAGUCGGUGGUGAAAUCCUGGAGCUCAACUCCAGAACUGCCUUCGAUACUGAGAGUCUCGAGUCCGGGGGAGGUGAGUGGAACUGCGAGUGUAGAGGUGAAAUUCGUAGAUAUUCGCAAGAACACCAGUGGCGAAGGCGGCUCACUGGCCCGGUACUGACGCUGAGGUGCGAAAGCGUGGGAGCAAACA